This 468-nucleotide ribosomal RNA is filed under the name uncultured bacterium. RNAcentral describes it as "partial 16S ribosomal RNA". It matches the Rfam family "Bacterial small subunit ribosomal RNA", at positions 28 to 507 of the family's 1533-position model. The record is from RNAcentral.
GACGAACGCUGGCGGCGUGCUUAACACAUGCAAGUCGAACGGCAAGGCCCUGCUUUUGUGGGGUGCUCUAGUGGCGAACGGGUGAGUAACACGUGAGUAACCUGCCCUUUACUUUGGGAUAACUUCAGGAAACUGGGGCUAAUACCGGAUAGGAGCUCCUGCUGCAUGGUGGGGGUUGGAAAGUUUCGGCGGUUGGGGAUGGACUCGCGGCUUAUCAGCUUGUUGGUGGGGUAGUGGCUUACCAAGGGUUUGACGGGUAGCCGGCCUGAGAGGGUGACCGGCCACAAUGGGACUGAGAGACGGCCCAGACUCGUACGGGAGGCAGUAGUGGGAAAUAUUGCACAAUGAGCGGAAGCCUGAUGCAGAGACGCCGCGUGCGGAAUGACGGCCUUCGGGGGGUAAACCGCUUUCGCAUGAGACGAAGCGGGAGUGACGGUAAUGGGUAAAGAAGCACCGGCUAACUACGUG